GAUGAACGCUGGCGGCGUGCCUAAUACAUGCAAGUCGAGCGAACAGACGAGGAGCUUGCUCCUCUGACGUUAGCGGCGGACGGGUGAGUAACACGUGGAUAACCUACCUAUCAGACUGGGAUAACUUCGGGAAACCGGAGCUAAUACCGGAUAAUAUAUUGAACCGCAUGGUUCAAUAGUGAAAGACGGUUUUGCUGUCACUUAUAGAUGGAUCCGCGCCGCAUUAGCUAGUUGGUAAGGUAACGGCUUACCAAGGCGACGAUGCGUAGCCGACCUGAGAGGGUGAUCGGCCACACUGGAACUGAGACACGGUCCAGACUCCUACGGGAGGCAGCAGUAGGGAAUCUUCCGCAAUGGGCGAAAGCCUGACGGAGCAACGCCGCGUGAGUGAUGAAGGUCUUCGGAUCGUAAAACUCUGUUAUUAGGGAAGAACAAAUGUGUAAGUAACUAUGCACGUCUUGACGGUACCUAAUCAGAAAGCCACGGCUAACUACGUG
This 497-nucleotide ribosomal RNA is filed under the name uncultured bacterium. RNAcentral's name for it is "partial 16S ribosomal RNA". It matches the Rfam family "Bacterial small subunit ribosomal RNA", at positions 28 to 507 of the family's 1533-position model. The record is from RNAcentral.